GCUGGGUGUGGUGGUGCACACUUGUAAUCCCAGCUACUCAGGAGACUGAGGCAGGAGAAUUGCUUGAACCCAGGAGGUGGAGGUGGCAGUGAGCUGAGAUCACACCACUGCACUCCACCCUGGGUGAUAGAGUGAGACUCUGUCUCAA
Molecule: unclassified non-coding RNA, 148 nt
Organism: Pongo abelii (Sumatran orangutan)
Lineage: Eukaryota; Metazoa; Chordata; Mammalia; Primates; Hominidae
Rfam family: Metazoan signal recognition particle RNA
About the family: The signal recognition particle (SRP) is a universally conserved ribonucleoprotein. It is involved in the co-translational targeting of proteins to membranes.
Source: Ensembl